GACGAACGCUGGCGGCGUGCUUAACACAUGCAAGUCGAACGGAAAGGCCCUGCUUGCAGGGUACUCGAGUGGCGAACGGGUGAGUAACACGUGGGUGAUCUGCCCUGCACUUCGGGAUAAGCCUGGGAAACUGGGUCUAAUACCGGAUAGGAGCCAUUCUUAGUGUGAUGGUUGGAAAGUUUUUUCGGUGUAGGAUGAGCUCGCGGCCUAUCAGCUUGUUGGUGGGGUAAUGGCCUACCAAGGCGGCGACGGGUAGCCGGCCUGAGAGGGUGGACGGCCACAUUGGGACUGAGAUACGGCCCAGACUCCUACGGGAGGCAGCAGUGGGGAAUAUUGCACAAUGGGCGCAAGCCUGAUGCAGCGACGCCGCGUGGGGGAUGACGGCCUUCGGGUUGUAAACGCCUUUCGCUAGGGACGAAGCUUUUUGUGGCGGUACCUAGAUAAGAAGCACCGGCUAACUACGUG
This 465-nucleotide ribosomal RNA is filed under the name uncultured bacterium. RNAcentral describes it as "partial 16S ribosomal RNA". It matches the Rfam family "Bacterial small subunit ribosomal RNA", at positions 28 to 507 of the family's 1533-position model. The record is from RNAcentral.